AUUGAACGCUGGCGGCAGGCCUAACACAUGCAAGUCGAACGGUAACAGGAAACAGCUUGCUGUUUCGCUGACGAGUGGCGGACGGGUGAGUAAUGUCUGGGAAACUGCCUGAUGGAGGGGGAUAACUACUGGAAACGGUAGCUAAUACCGCAUAACGUCGCAAGACCAAAGAGGGGGACCCUCGGGCCUCUUGCCAUCGGAUGUGCCCAGAUGGGAUUAGCUUGUUGGUGGGGUAACGGCUCACCAAGGCGACGAUCCCUAGCUGGUCUGAGAGGAUGACCAGCCACACUGGAACUGAGACACGGUCCAGACUCCUACGGGAGGCAGCAGUGGGGAAUAUUGCACAAUGGGCGCAAGCCUGAUGCAGCCAUGCCGCGUGUAUGAAGAAGGCCUUCGGGUUGUAAAGUACUUUCAGCGGGGAGGAAGGGAGUAAAGUUAAUACCUGUGCUCAUUGACGUUACCCGCAGAAGAAGCACCGGCUAACUCCGU
This 489-nucleotide ribosomal RNA is filed under the name uncultured bacterium. RNAcentral describes it as "partial 16S ribosomal RNA". It matches the Rfam family "Bacterial small subunit ribosomal RNA", at positions 30 to 506 of the family's 1533-position model. The record is from RNAcentral.